This 465-nucleotide ribosomal RNA is filed under the name uncultured bacterium. Its description in RNAcentral is "partial 16S ribosomal RNA". It matches the Rfam family "Bacterial small subunit ribosomal RNA", at positions 28 to 507 of the family's 1533-position model. The record is from RNAcentral.
GACGAACGCUGGCGGCGUGCUUAACACAUGCAAGUCGAACGGAAAGGCCCUGCUUGCAGGGUACUCGAGUGGCGAACGGGUGAGUAACACGUGGGUUAUCUGCCCUGCACUUCGGGAUAAGCCUGGGAAACUGGGUCUAAUACCGGAUAGGAGCCAUUUUUAGUGUGAUGGUUGGAAAGUUUUUUCGGUGUAGGAUGAGCUCGCGGCCUAUCAGCUUGUUGGUGGGGUAAUGGCCUACCAAGGCGGCGACGGGUAGCCGGCCUGAGAGGGUGGACAGCCACAUUGGGACUGAGAUACGUCCCAGACUCCUACGGGAGGCAGCAGUGGGGAAUAUUGCACAAUGGGCGCAAGCCUGAUGCAGCGACGCCGCUUGGGGGAUGACGGCCUUCGGGUUGUAAACUCCUUUCGCUAGGGACGAAGCUUUUUGUGACGGUACCUAGAUAAGAAGCACCGGCUAACUACGUG